CCUACGGGUCGCAGCAGUGGGGAAUAUUGCACAAUGGGCGCAAGCCUGAUGCAGCCAUGCCGCGUGUAUGAAGAAGGCCUUCGGGUUGUAAAGCACUUUCGACGGGGACGAUGAUGACGGUACCCGUAGAAAAAGCCCCGGCUAACUUCGUGCCAGCAGCCGCGGUAAUACGAAGGGGGCUAGCGUUGCUCGGAAUGACUGGGCGUAAAGGGCGCGUAGGCGGUUUAUGCAGUCAGAUGUGAAAUCCCCGGGCUUAACCUGGGAACUGCAUUUGAGACGCAUAGACUAGAGGUCGAGAGAGGGUUGUGGAAUUCCCAGUGUAGAGGUGAAAUUCGUAGAUAUUGGGCAGAACACCGGUGGCGAAGGCGGCAACCUGGCUCGAUACUGACGCUGAGGCGCGAAAGCGUGGGAGCAAACAGGAUUAGAUACCCGAGUAGUC
RNAcentral lists this ribosomal RNA (439 nucleotides) under uncultured bacterium. RNAcentral's name for it is "bacterial SSU rRNA". It matches the Rfam family "Bacterial small subunit ribosomal RNA", at positions 338 to 795 of the family's 1533-position model. The record is from RNAcentral.